RNAcentral lists this non-coding RNA (22 nucleotides) under Arabidopsis thaliana (thale cress). Lineage: Eukaryota; Viridiplantae; Streptophyta; Magnoliopsida; Brassicales; Brassicaceae. The record is from RNAcentral.
UGUGAAUUUUGUGCUGCCUCGU